This 253-nucleotide ribosomal RNA is filed under the name uncultured bacterium. Its description in RNAcentral is "partial 16S ribosomal RNA". It matches the Rfam family "Bacterial small subunit ribosomal RNA", at positions 524 to 776 of the family's 1533-position model. The record is from RNAcentral.
UACGGAGGGUGCGAGCGUUGUCCGGAAUCACUGGGCGUAAAGGGCGCGUAGGCGGCGCGGGCAGUCAACGGUGAAAGCUCGGGGCUCAACUCCGAGUCGGCCGUCGAUACUCCCGCGCUCGAGCACUGUAGAGGCAGGUGGAAUUCCGGGUGUAGCGGUGGAAUGCGUAGAGAUCCGGAAGAACAUCGGUGGCGAAGGCGCUCUGCUGGACCAUAACUGACACUCAGGGACGAAAGCUAGGGGAGCGAAUGGG